GGCUAUAUAUUUUAAAUUAAAAUAUUAAAUUGCAAAUUUAACAAUGCAUGAAAUUGCUGUGGCUU
This 65-nucleotide transfer RNA is filed under the name Cirroteuthis muelleri. RNAcentral describes it as "tRNA-Cys". Lineage: Eukaryota; Metazoa; Mollusca; Cephalopoda; Octopoda; Cirroteuthidae. The record is from RNAcentral.